Molecule: ribosomal RNA, 209 nt
Filed under: Clostridioides difficile
Lineage: Bacteria; Bacillati; Bacillota; Clostridia; Peptostreptococcales; Peptostreptococcaceae
Description: partial 23S ribosomal RNA
Rfam family: Bacterial large subunit ribosomal RNA
Source: RNAcentral
GAUGGACAACAGGUUGAUAUUCCUGUACUACCGAUAACCGUUUGAGAGAAGGGAUGACACAGUAGGAUAAGCUAAGCACACUGUUGGUUAUGUGUGCCCAAGCAGUGAGGCAGUCAAAGUAGGCAAAUCCGCUUUGAUAAUGCUGGGAUGUGAUGGGGAGCGAAAUUUAGUAGCGAAGUAGCUGAUUUCACACUGUCAAGAAAAGUCUC